AAGUCGUAACAAGGUUUCCGUAGGUGAACCUGCGGAAGGAUCAUUAGUGAAUCUAGGGUGUCCAAUUUAACUUGGAGCCCGAACUCUCACUUUCUAACCCUGUGCAUCUGUUAUUGGUUAGUAGCUCUUCGGAGUGAACUCCAUUCACUUACAAACACAACGUCUAUGAAUGUAUACAAAAUUAUAACAAAACAAAACUUUCAACAACGGAUCUCUUGGCUCUC
This 224-nucleotide unclassified non-coding RNA is filed under the name Rhodotorula kratochvilovae. Its description in RNAcentral is "partial internal transcribed spacer region". The stretch from base 1 to 46 matches the Rfam family "Eukaryotic small subunit ribosomal RNA", at positions 1786 to 1831 of the family's 1831-position model. The record is from RNAcentral. Lineage: Eukaryota; Fungi; Basidiomycota; Microbotryomycetes; Sporidiobolales; Sporidiobolaceae.